Molecule: ribosomal RNA, 673 nt
Filed under: uncultured bacterium
Lineage: Bacteria
Description: bacterial SSU rRNA
Rfam family: Bacterial small subunit ribosomal RNA
Source: RNAcentral
CGGAGAAUUGCUAGCUUGCUAAUAAUUCUCUAGUGGCGCACGGGUGAGUAACACGUGAGUACCUGCCCCCAAGAGUGGGAUAGCCCCGGGAAACUGGGAUUAAUACCGCAUAAAGCAAUAAAGCAGCAAUGCGCUUGGGGAUGGGCUCGCGUCCUAUUAGUUAGUUGGUGAGGUAACGGCUCACCAAGGCGAUGACGGGUAGCCGGUCUGAGAGGAUGUCCGGCCACACUGGAACUGAGACACGGUCCAGACACCUACGGGUGGCAGCAGUCGAGAAUCAUUCACAAUGGGGGAAACCCUGAUGGUGCGACGCCGCGUGGGGGAUAAGGUCUUCGGAUUGUAAACCCCUGUCAUGUGGGACAUUAAAAAGAUAGUACCACAAGAGGAAGAGACGGCUAACUCUGUGCCAGCAGCCGCGGUAAUACAGAGGUCUCAAGCGUUGUUCGGAAUCACUGGGCGUAAAGCGUGCGUAGGCGGUUUCGUAAGUCGUGUGUGAAAGGCGGGGGCUCAACCCCCGGACUGCACAUGAUACUGCGAGACUAGAGUAAUGGAGGGGGAACCGGAAUUCUCGGUGUAGCAGUGAAAUGCGUAGAUAUCGAGAGGAACACUCGUGGCGAAGGCGGGUUCCUGGACAUUAACUGACGCUGAGGCACGAAGGCCAGGGGAGCGAAAG